This 206-nucleotide long non-coding RNA is filed under the name Elaeis guineensis (African oil palm). RNAcentral's name for it is "long non-coding RNA (EGUI_LNC022351)". Lineage: Eukaryota; Viridiplantae; Streptophyta; Magnoliopsida; Arecales; Arecaceae. The record is from RNAcentral.
GCCCUUAUAAAAGAACAAUUCAAUGAGGUCUCGAGAAAGAAAUUGGCCACAUGGUUACUUAGGCAAAUGAGAAUUAGAUAUUUCGAGCUACGGAAAGGAAUACAUUUAAAAUUACAGAUGCUCUUUUGUGGGGAAACGAGAUCAGGAGGCUAGCACUUUUUAUACCAAGAAAGCACAGGCCAAAUAAUUUUUUAUGUCAAGGAUGA